Dreissena polymorpha is the source of this 1213-nucleotide long non-coding RNA. RefSeq lists it as uncharacterized. The record is from RefSeq and is a predicted model, not a curated record. The transcript is spliced from 2 exons. Lineage: Eukaryota; Metazoa; Mollusca; Bivalvia; Myida; Dreissenidae.
UUAUUUACACGUCUUUAAUCCAAGUGUUUAAUACAUUUUAAAUUAAGUUAAGAACAGAGAUUACAAAAAGGUAAUAUAUCAUUUUUAUAUCAUGUUAUGUUUACUGCUGCAAACCAAUUGCCUUGCACAGUUCUUGAACUCAAGUACCAAUUUUGAAUUAAAUUAUUAUCCACCAACUGGACAGAAAAUAAGCUUUUCUUGUUAUUUCAAGUGUCCAACAAUGUGGCUAUUUAGUCAUGAGGAAUAACAUUCGACCGCUGUCAUUAUACCAUUUGAGUUGUGUUUCACUUUCUUAACAUAAAUGAGUACUGCGACACGUUUCUUGUUCAUUAUGAUAUUCAAUCGGCAAUAUUGAUAGGAUAGGAAAUCUUUAUAUUCUUGGAGAAAGGGCAAAUUAAGAGAAGGCCCUACGUCUAAGAAAAAAACAAAACACUUGACACACGGACUGAUCAUCAUCCUUUGUAAGAAAUUUGUCAUGUAAACUUCCUACUCCGCAAUAUCUAGGUCAUUUAUUUAUAGAAUGGUAUUCUUAUUGACCAAUUAAUAAUUAAUAAGUGACUUCCUUUCGACGAAGAAUGGUACUUGAGUUGUAUAUAAAACGGGAGAAAAUAACAUAUCGCAUAUACUUCUAGUCAAACUGGAUUGCAAAGCUAAUAUUUAUAACUGAUUCCUAACGAUGAUGCGUUACCUGAUGUGCAUGUUAGUCCUAACGUUGCUGCUAAGUCAAGUGGCCGACGUGAAUUCAGCCGGGCUAUGUGGGAGGCGACGUUGUCCACCGGGUUACCGUUGUGUUCGCUAUGGCAGCGUAUUCAGGUGUCAUGGUGGGCAAACGUUCAUGCAUCCGGGAAAUACGGGAAAUACGGACGAUGCUGUGAAGUAAUUAACGGUGUGCGUUUCCAAAAAAAUGGAGUUUCUAUCCGAUGACCCUUAUAUCGGUUAUGAUAAUUACAAAACUUGGUUUCGACAUCUAAGAAAUAUGUUGUUAUUUAUAUUAUAUUCAUAUGUUUAUUUAGAUUUUGUGUGUGAACAGUUUUCAAUAGGAAGAUAUCUAGACAUUAUAAAGAAUGAGAACUGAUUUAUGAUGUAGACUAUUAUCUUGACCAUUUUAUUAUAUAUUACACAAUAGCCGAUCAUAUUGUUACAUGCAUAUGUAAUACACUUUGGUGGAGCAAGAUAUUUAUCACAGAGUAAAGUUAUUUAAUUAUUGACCAAA